CCCCUCUCAGGACCGUAGCUGGAGGGUUUCCGGUACCCUCCCAGUCUCGACUAGGGGAGGGAGAUUCAAGCAGAGACGUAACCAUUCCAUUCCUAGCUUGGGCAGUGGCUAGCGAGGGGAAGGCCAUCUGCUACGCAU
Molecule: small nucleolar RNA, 138 nt
Organism: Ornithorhynchus anatinus (platypus)
Lineage: Eukaryota; Metazoa; Chordata; Mammalia; Monotremata; Ornithorhynchidae
Source: RefSeq, a predicted model, not a curated record